GCAGCAGGCGCGAAAACUUUACAAUGCUGGCAACAGCGAUAAGGGAACCUCGAGUGCCAGGUUACAAAUCUGGCUGUCGAGAUGCCUAAAAAGCAUUUCAUAGCAAGGGCCGGGCAAGACCG
Molecule: ribosomal RNA, 122 nt
Filed under: uncultured archaeon
Lineage: Archaea
Description: partial 16S ribosomal RNA
Rfam family: Archaeal small subunit ribosomal RNA
Source: RNAcentral